Macadamia integrifolia is the source of this 106-nucleotide small nucleolar RNA. The record is from RefSeq and is a predicted model, not a curated record. NCBI's taxonomy places the organism in Eukaryota, Viridiplantae, Streptophyta, Magnoliopsida, Proteales, Proteaceae.
AUACUAUGGUGAGGGCAUUCCUGGAAUAGAUCCUUCAAUCUCUACAUAAGUUUAGAAAAGGACUCACUAGGCUUCUACUAAACUGGAGGAUAUCACUUCUAAGCUU